ACACAUGCAAGUCGAACGAAGGCCCGGAGCUUGCUCCGGAUCCCUUAGUGGCGAACGGGUGAGUAACGCGUGGGAAUCUACCUAAGAAUGGGGAAUAACUGUUGGAAACGACAGCUAAUACCGCAUAAUCCCUUCGGGGCAAAGGCUUCGGCCGUUUUUAGAUGAGCCCGCGUUAGAUUAGGCUGUUGGUGAGGUAAUGGCUCACCAAACCUGCAAUCUAUAGCUGGUCUGAGAGGAUGAUCAGCCACACUGGGACUGAGACACGGCCCAGACUCCUACGGGAGGCAGCAGUGGGGAAUAUUGGACAAUGGGGGAAACCCUGAUCCAGCAAUGCCGCGUGAGUGAUGAAGGCCUUAGGGUUGUAAAGCUCUUUCAGAAGUGAAGAUGAUGACGGUAACUUCAGAAGAAGCUCCGGCUAACUCCGUGCCAGCAGCCGCGGUAAUACGGAGGGAGCUAGCGUUGUUCGGAAUUACUGGGCGUAAAGGGCGUGUAGGCUGUAUGAUUAGUCAGUGGUGAAAUCCCUAAGCUCAACUUAGGAACUGCCUUUGAUACUGUUAUACUAGAGAUCGAGAGAAGUUAGCGGAACUCCAAGUGUAGAGGUGAAAUUCGUAGAUAUUUGGAAGAACACCAGUGGCGAAAGCGGCUAACUGGCUCGAUUCUGACGCUGAGACGCGAAAGCGUGGGUAGCAAACAGGAUUAGAUACCCUGGUAGUCCACGCCGUAAACGAUGAGUGCUAGCCGUUUGUGAUUAAUCACAAGUGGUGCAGUUAACACAUUAAGCACUCCGCCUGGGGAGUAC
This 799-nucleotide ribosomal RNA is filed under the name uncultured Rhodospirillaceae bacterium. Its description in RNAcentral is "bacterial SSU rRNA". It matches the Rfam family "Bacterial small subunit ribosomal RNA", at positions 51 to 883 of the family's 1533-position model. Lineage: Bacteria; Pseudomonadati; Pseudomonadota; Alphaproteobacteria; Rhodospirillales; Rhodospirillaceae. The record is from RNAcentral.